Ochotona curzoniae (black-lipped pika) is the source of this 1944-nucleotide long non-coding RNA. RefSeq lists it as uncharacterized. The record is from RefSeq and is a predicted model, not a curated record. NCBI's taxonomy places the organism in Eukaryota, Metazoa, Chordata, Mammalia, Lagomorpha, Ochotonidae. The transcript has 4 exons.
CAAUGAAUCGCACACUUUAAAAGGGUUACUGUUUAUGCUAUGUAAUUAUAUUUCAAUAAAGCUGUUAUAAAAUGCAAAUUUUAUGGCCUAGAACACUGACUCCUUAACUAUACAGAAGACAUUUGUCAGCAGCCACUGCCACUAUGAAGACGGAGCCUGCUAAGCAGAACACUCUGCAGUUCAACGGUCUGCCGCAACAGCUGCAGAAAGCUCUGGAAGAUCUCCAAGAAGAUGAUUCCACCUGCUCAGUUUCAGAUCAACUGAGAUGGAACCAUCCAUUAACAUCUGAUGUCAUAAUCAGAAGGAGAGGUGGAUGGAUGCAAACAGUGGCCUGAGGAGGGAAAGGAAGUGCGUAGCUACGCUUUAUCAGAAGAUAAAGGUACUUACCAGUUAAUCCCAUUUCACAGGUUAGCCAAGAAUAGUAUGUGAAGGUACAUGAAAUAACUACCUGAUCAAAGAGAAGACCUGCACCGUGUAAGCUGAUCAAUAACAUUGUUCUUGGUUUCCUCAGGGGAGUGCUGCACUUUACCGGCAUCAGCCUUAAACAUGCAUAUGUCCUCUUUUUUGACAUCCACAGAUGUGAAGAAUAUUACAUAUUGUUAAUUGAGUUUCAAUGACCUCAUAAUUAGCUGCACAUUAGUAGAAUUUUGUGCAGUAAUUACUCUGCCAUUAUCAUUAUCUGCUUUCCUCAAGACAUAUUGUUAUUACUCUUGGAUUCUAUUGGCUGGAAAACUAUCUUAAAAUUACCAAAUAUGUAUUAAAUUUCUAUUUUAUAGCAUAUGCUUACAUUGGGGAUAUGAAUAAUAUGCUAAUGACUUUAGAGAACAGACACAUGAAGAUCUGAGUGAUAACAUUCCAGAAAAGAAGUGGAAGUGCAAUGUGGUGGAAGGGUGAGCAAUUAAGAAGUAAGUAUACAGAAGAGAAGAACCCUACAAAGAAAGGCAUUGAGGUUGGACCAAAGCAUCAGUGGGGGCAGAAGGUCUAGAAAAAAUGAGAGACGCUAACAAGGAUCAUUCUUGGGCAAAAUUGAAUCAAGCCUGAAGAGACGGAGUUGGAUAGAAUAUUUGUGAAAAAGCCACUCUAUGGAUUAAGCAAAAAAUGAAGAGAAGUGAUAAUCUAGGAUGGGUAAUGUGACCUAUCACGGUGGGAGCGGGAUCAGCCGGCGGGAGCACUGCUUUGCUGCGGGUGGGUGUGGUGGUGAGCAUGAGAAUGGUUCAACAGAGAACCAUUUAGAGGUGCACAGAGGAUCAUGGUGCUAGGGAAAACAUUUUUAUUCUAAAAUGCCUCAUAUGUUCUGGAAAUAACAAGGCUUAAAUCUUGUUACAUGUUCACUGGAUCUCCAUGAAACAGGUCUUGGGCUGUUUGCUAAAAUCCUGAAUGUGCCAUGUGAGUUCAGCAACACCAUGUGAGUUCGGCCUGGUGUGCUGCCUCUCAGCGGAAUGAAUUCAGACAGUCUCCAUCUGCCAGAGAGGCCAACCCUCACACAAUAUACUGCAACUCCUUGGGCGUGCUGCUCUGGCCUGCCUCGGAAAAUGCGUUGUCCAUCCCACCACAUGGGCCACACAGACCAAGGACGCCUCUUGCUGGACUCCUUUCUGGCCUUUUAAAGACAAGUGGCAGGAGGAAGGACCACUGAAGAUCAGAGGGCCCUCUCAUACCCUUUCACCCACUGGGCUUGCUGCUACGGCUGUGAAUGCUCCUGAAAGUUGCUCGGCAGGCGUAGAUUUCCGAUUGGAAUCCUCCCCGGGAGAAAUAACAAGGACAUGAGCGUGUGCUGGCUGGUGAGCAGAAGUCAGGAUCACCAUCACAGGGGACUUUGUAAAGCCAUGACCUCAGCAAUAUUGGAACAGUACUUGGUAAGUCUGGCAUUAUGGUUAGUGAGAUUAAUAUGAAACUGUUGUCCAUUCUUUCGUUCCUAUUUCAAAGGCAGAGUAGGAGGGAGAG